CUCAGCUGUCCUCACCUGAUUUGAACAUGCAGUGGAAGUCUGUCCUCAGAAUUUAUUUAUGUGGAACACAAAACAAGAAAUUUUGAAGAAUGUUCAUGAUGCUCUUUUCUGUCAAAUGGAUACACCCAGAAGUGUGCUUCAUGGAUUGCAAUUACAGAUCCACAUCCACCCAGCAGGGCCUUCGGUGACGGCGAGGCAAGCUAUUUUUAGGCCAAUGACGCAGGUGUCUCAUAUCACCACCUGCUCAGAACACUGAUGAGGGCUCCCUCUUCCGUGCUGCCUGGCGACGGGGGAUGCUGUUGCCAGGGGAACUGAAAUUGGUUGACAUCACACACUAUCAGGACCUCCCCUAUUGAAAUGGUAUGUAGUUCGUCUCUCUGAUCACAUACACAUUAAUCUAUGAUGACUAACCCCCGCUGCUGUUGCCCCCAAGACCGAUCAACAGCUUGCGAGCUGUGAGUCAUCCACAAAUGCCACGCAGCAGAGAAUCGUGCGUAGCAGCCUUUCUUUUCAUCCUCUGUGUAGCCAAAUAAAUCUAGUCUGAACAGAUGUUUGGAUGUUUUUAGGCAGUUCACACAAACAUACUGUUACAGUAAUCAUUAUUAUAUAAUUGGGAAUUAAGAUGUAAUUCUUCAUUCACCAAUGAAUAAUGAGACAUGACUUCAGAUUUAGGGCAGUCCCAGUAGUAAUAAGCUAUGUGGUAACACAGUAUUUGAAGUUUUAACAUCAGUACAAGUUGAUGUUGAUCUUUUUUUUUUUUUUUUUUAUAAAUGUGCGAGUCUGAUUUGGUUCCCUAAACAUCCCACGUUCAGAUGCUUACUCCUGAUUUAUGGGGUUUGUGGUUUUCUCUUUUUCUUCCUUUCUCAUUUGGGAGCAGUGAAGAAAAAGCCUGUUCUUUUGCUUUGCUUAGUUAUGCUGCUGAAACAUGUCAAAUUUAUUUUAUUGUAUAAAAAGCUAAUUCAGUUCUUGGCUCAUAUAAUAAAAAAUGAAUGAUAAAGAUGUAAAUGUAUCUAUAAUAAAAAUAAAAUUUAAAACAUUUAUAUUUAAUGGCAAUUUGCCAUAUAAAAUUUACCAAACAAGACACACACACACAUACAGUAGUGGCCAAAAGUGAUGUCUGGAGGGGAUAUUUGUUGUUUUCUAAUGACUCUACUACAAGAUCAAUUAAUCCACCAGAAUAUAUUUUAUGUAUAUAUUUGUAAUAUUUUAACUAUGAGGGAAGAACAAAACACUAAACUUGGUUAAGGUAAUUAUCUGACAAAAUUACUUGGCAAA
Molecule: long non-coding RNA, 1275 nt
Organism: Ctenopharyngodon idella (grass carp)
Lineage: Eukaryota; Metazoa; Chordata; Actinopteri; Cypriniformes; Xenocyprididae
Exons: 4
Source: RefSeq, a predicted model, not a curated record